GGGUGAGCAAAGCUCCCGACCUGACCCAAUACCCGAGUUAUGUAUAUUAUACUACCCGAAUGUUGACCCUUAAAACAGUUUAGUCAUUUUAAGGAUGCUUUCCAUAUUUGGAGAAAGAAGGGUUGUGAACAUAAAAAUGAGUUCAACAUUGAUGGGCAGGAAAUGAUAUUUUACACAGCCCUCAUUUUGACCCGCUGAAGAAAUAUCAAAUCAGAACUUCGAUGAAGUUGAGAAGAUUUUGAUUUGGAAGGCUUCUAAUAUGCCCAUUUACUACUGCAGGGUUACAUUGCUUGACGGGACUUUUAAGGAGGGGAGAAGUGGGAAACAACUACUUUCGAUACAGUGACAGAGUUAUCGAAGAGCUUUGCUUCAAAUGCUUUGAUUUCUCACAUUUGGUGGCGUAUGCAUGAAUUCUGGAGCAUAAGUGAUGGAAAAGUCUCUU
RNAcentral lists this long non-coding RNA (442 nucleotides) under Helianthus annuus (common sunflower). RNAcentral describes it as "sRNA HanXRQr2_Chr17g0830951". The record is from RNAcentral. Lineage: Eukaryota; Viridiplantae; Streptophyta; Magnoliopsida; Asterales; Asteraceae.